Molecule: unclassified non-coding RNA, 342 nt
Filed under: soil metagenome
Description: partial contains 5.8S ribosomal RNA, internal transcribed spacer 2, and large subunit ribosomal RNA
Rfam family: 5.8S ribosomal RNA (bases 3-119)
Source: RNAcentral
GAGAAGAACGCAGCGAAAUGCGAUAAGUAAUGUGAAUUGCAGAAUUCAGUGAAUCAUCGAAUCUUUGAACGCACAUUGCGCCCGCUAGUAUUCUGGCGGGCAUGCCUGUCCGAGCGUCAUUUCAACCCUCAAGCCCCCGGGCUUGGUGUUGGGGAUCGGCGAGCCUCCGCGCCCGCCGUCCCCUAAAUCUAGUGGCGGUCUCGCUGUAGCUUCCUCUGUGUAGUAGCACACCUCGCACUGGGAAACAGCGCGGCCACGCCGUUAAACCCCCAACUUCUGAACGUUUGACCUCGGAUCAGGUAGGAAUACCCGCUGAACUUAAGCAUAUCAAUAAGCGGAGGA